RNAcentral lists this unclassified non-coding RNA (22 nucleotides) under Mus musculus (house mouse). RNAcentral's name for it is "oocyte_clustered_small_RNA4048". The record is from RNAcentral. Lineage: Eukaryota; Metazoa; Chordata; Mammalia; Rodentia; Muridae.
UGACCACCAGUACUUCUAACAG